RNAcentral lists this long non-coding RNA (20647 nucleotides) under Erythranthe guttata (spotted monkey flower). Its description in RNAcentral is "long non-coding RNA (EGUT_LNC001027)". The record is from RNAcentral. Lineage: Eukaryota; Viridiplantae; Streptophyta; Magnoliopsida; Lamiales; Phrymaceae.
AUGAUUAGGUGUGGCCAACAGUGAACAACAAGAAGUACGAGACACUGUCAUACCUACCUCCUCUAACCAGAGAGCAACUCAUCAAGGAAGUUGAUUACCUUCUCCGCAACAAGCUCAUUCCUUGCAUCGAGUUCGAGUUGGAGGUAUUAUUUCUCAAUCUAUAUAUAUAUAUAUAUAUAUAUAUAUAUAUAUAUAUAUAUAUAUAUAUAUAUAUAUAUGUUUUCUUAAUUUUAAAAUUAAAAAUGAAUAAAUAAAAAUGAAAAAUAUAAAAAAAAAUGUAUGUAUAUGCAGCACGGAUUUGUGUUCCGUCAGUACAACAGCUCCCCAGGAUACUACGACGGUCGAUACUGGACAAUGUGGAAGUUGCCUAUGUUCGGGUGCACAGACGCAGUACAGGUAGUGAACGAGCUUGACGAGGCAAUCAAAGCAUACCCAGAGGGCUUCAUUAGAAUCAUUGGAUUCAACAAUCUCAAGCAAGUCCAGGAUAUCAGUUUCAUUGCCUACAAGCCUGCUGGCUACUAAUAAUUUCUAUUGUGUUUUCCUUUAAUUAGGAUUCCUUUUUUUUUUUGUAUUAUUACUUUCAUUUCCUUUUUCCUGCUUUUCCUAAUCUCUCUAUCUCUUUCGGAUCGAAAAGAUAAAUGAGUGUACGAGGAUAAGUAUUUACUACUCAAUAAACUAUAAUGCAUUUUCUUCCUUUUUAAUAAUUACUAUACUGUCAUCUCUUGAUCGCCUAAGUUAAGCGGGUAAGCCUCGGGAAAAUAUCUUAUUUAAUUUAUUAUUUAUCAGUGAAUAAAUUAUUUGGUUAUAGAUUAUCUUAAUGUAGGAGAAUUCAUGUAAUGAUUAAUGAAUAACUGGAGCUCAAAUGUAAUAGUUGAGAAUAUGGACGCGAGUGCAAUAGUUAGUUGGUAAUAGAAAUUAAUUAAUUAUUUACCGUCAAAUUAAAUAUAAUUAUAUUAUUUUUAGAAUUUGAGUUUAAUUUACUUAUUAGAAGUGCGAUGCAUAUUUUCUCAUUUGGUAUUUAUCGUAGCCCAAUCAAUUAUGUAACUUAUUGAGAAAAUAAAAUUCAACUAAUGGAAUAUAGGAGAAAGAGACUUAUUUCAGAGAAGGAAAAAAUGGCCGUAGUGUCUUGUGGAAGAAAUAACUUAUUUUCUUAGUUAUUUCCUUGUAAAACUCUUUGAUCAGCCCUAUAUAUACAAAACUUGGUUGGAGAGAGAAAGUUGAGAUCCUAACUCGCCUAGCAAAAAUCUUUUACACAUGUUUUUUAAGAAGAUAAUUUUUCUCCUUUUAUUUUCGCUCCCUAUUUCUCAAUUAUAGAUUUAUAAUUCUUCAAGGACAAGUCCACCCUUGUAGAAGAACUGUUAAUCCGAGAUAGACAAUUGAAGAUUGAAGAUUUUGAUAGAAGAUGAAUAUUCUUGAAUGCUCUACAACAACCUUGAUGUUUUGACAAUUGCUACUUUAUCAACCGUUCAAUCGUCACAAAAUUUGAACUUGAGGUUCCUAACAUGUAGCAAUUCGAUCCGAACCAAACGGAUAGUCAAUCCAAUUUUGGGAUAUCAAGUUAUAGGCGUCUAAAGUGUGUUGUAUUGUUCUAGACGGGAGCAAUUUGUGAGAAGCUUUGUUCGUGUUUCCUGCAAUUACUGAAUUCAAGAUGGUAUUUUUGGGUCGUUUCCGAAUAUAUUUUUAAGUUCUAGAUUAGUUUUUAUUUCGCAUUUAUUAAUCUAUAAUUUAUUACGCAAAACAUGCUAGGGAAAAAUUUAUACCCGAAAAACAAAGGUUCGUCAUUCGAAUUAAUUAUCAAUGAUGCGCUCUUGGAAUUUAUAUAUAUAUAUAUAUAUAUAUAUAUAUAUAUAUGAGUCAGCGUUGCAUUGAUCGAUUAGUGCUUCUACCGAUCGGUGUGUGGUGUAAAAUAAGGGUUUCACAUGUAGUCGCACUAAUCGAUUGUCGAUCUCCUGCUUGGUAUAUUUUGACCACUUCCUGCUUUCUUCAAGUAUCGCUCCGUUGCCCAUAUCCUUCCUCAUUUAGCCCUCAACGCCGUUUUAGCCAUUGUAUUGCCACACAAAUAUUUAAUAUAUGCAAAAUGCAUCAAUCUAACUCCUAAAUACAAUAAUAGCUAACAUGCAGCUAAACGACAUAUAAAUGAUUGUACUAAUGCUCGAUUCUUACCUUAAAUAGAUGUGAAUAAGUAUACAUUUUACACAUUUAACCCUUUAGUAUUUGGUGGUCAUCAUGGCUUCAGUUUUCAGGAGACGGUUGUGGAUACAGUCUUAAAAUUCGGACGGGGUGUGUCCGGGGUGGGUUUACUUAUUUUUGUUUUUGGUCUUAUAGUUAGGAAAUUAGAGGAUUUUGUGUAUAUUGAAUUAUACAAUUUUUGGUGUUGGAACUUAAUAUAGUAGCUACCCAGAUGUUAAUACGAUCAAUUCCACAUUUUAGAGAUGUUGAUCCAUUUCGAGAAAUAUAUUUCACUAAAUAACUAAUCCCUCCACUAAACGCAUUGGGCUCACUUACUCAAUAUAGAAAUAUAUCUCUUUGUUAUGAGAUCAAAGUGGAUUAGACUAGUUACAUGUGUACCUUUUUAUAUUUAGGGAUUAAGAGAGUAAGUGUUUUGGUGAUAAUAAGAAAUAAUAUAGUUUUAUAUUAUCAGUAGUGAAAUAAUUAUUUCACUUUGUCUGGUCCAAUACAUGCCGAAUGUGCUAGCACAAUAAGUCAAAAUAAUAACUAUAAAAAAUAUUCUAUAUCUAUCGUAAUCAAGACAGAUCACUUAAAUAUAUUAUUAAAUACAUUGUGCUACAAUCUUUCUCGAUGGUUAGUUCAAUUCCAUUUAGAUUGUGAAUAAUUUAAUUUAUAUUAUAAAACGAACUUUCAAAAUGAUCUUAUGUGUUAUAUCAAAAUCAGCACACCAAUUCGAAUAUGAUUAGAAUAUUAGACUCGUGUAAUUGUUUAAAUAUUAGUUAAAUGCAUUGAAUGCCAUAAUGCAUAUUCUCAUAAAAUGAUAUUAUACUAUUUCAUUAAAUUAAUACUAAAAUUAUGUAGAUAAAUGUGAGAGACUUUUAGUCUACUGUCCCAACAAAUAUACACUCGAGUUAGGACUUUAUUUCGGCGGAGACACUUUUGACACACAACAACCAACCUUGAGAGCGGUUAUAAACCCUAAAAAUGAAAAGAGCGAGGAACACUCAUCUAGAGCUUAGUGUGAAACGAAUAGGAACAGGCAACACAGAAUUUAAUCGUUGGCGGAAUGAAGACAACAUGACAAGGAGAAUGUUCGCCUUCUGUUAUUCAUAGAGUUUAUAUUUCUCUUCUUUUAAUUUAUUGAUUAUUGCAUCCAACAAAUAUUGUUUAUUGAUUUUGAUGGAACUAUACGUAGGUAGAUUUCAUUAUAGGAUUUAAUCGAAUCCCGUAGUGGAUAUUUUGUACUAUGUUUUAUUUUUAUGCAUGUGAUUUAAUUUUCAGUUUAAUUCUCGUGCUUGGAAUGUUUGAAUGCGUGGACUUGAUAACAUCACUGUCGCCAUUAGACACCAGGCCAUUAUUGAGAAUAUAUCACGCUCUUAAUUAUGUAAAUCAUCCUUCUGAAUUAGUUUUUUCUUUUAUAAACAAUACCUUAGAUCACGGUUCAUACUGUAUAUUUUAUGUUGAUCGACCGUGAUUGUAAUUACUUGAUUGAUUCUCAUUGAAUCAAUCCUCCUAUAUAUAUAUAUAUAUAUACUCACAUAUACAUCAAUGAAAAGUGAAAACUCCUAACUUGGGAUAUCCUUUUAUGGUAUCACAACCAUUAGCCUCACGACAUCUCUGAUCCAUAAUUAUCAUUUGUUUUUCUCCAUUUCUUCACUUAUAAUGUCGGACGAUCCCUCGAUCUCUCCCAACCAAACCACCGCCACCACGACUGUGAUGCGAUCUCUUGAGUAUCAUAAGAUUUCUUUACUAAACGUAAGAAAACUCUUGUUUAUUAUUUCUCUGCAUUAUCAAAACCCUAGCACAAUACGGCUAUUUAAAGAGAAUCAAAACCCUAGAAUCCUAAUCUAACUAGGAAAGAUAAUUACCUAUACUAAUAAAAUACUUAAUAAUUCCCUAAUCACUACUACUCACGCCAUAUAUUAAUCUAAAUAUACUAAUCUAAUCUAAUUAUCAAUAAACUACUAAUUAAAAUAAUACUUAAAUAAUAUAUUAAAUAAUAAAAUACUAACUAACGAAUAAAUAUACGAUAUAUUAAAUAUAUAUCGUAUCAAACCACCCCUCUUGAAAUGAACCUUGUCCUCAAGGUUCGAGUCAAUUUGGUCCCUCUUUUUUGCGUUUCCACCUAUGUUUGACUUCAGCGACUUUCUUUCCGAGAAAGAUGUAUUCCUUUGUUUGACCAAUUUUCACAAGCACGUGACUAUCUUUCUUGAUUUUAUGAGUGAAGUCAUCUCUCUCGGUGGAAUCAUGAACUUGGUCUCCAAAGUGAUCCACUUUAGCCAAACAAAAACUAGAUAACUUGGAGUGGUAUUUUUCUUCACAAUAAACAACUAAUUCCACCGAAUUCUCAUUAUGCAAAAUUGGAUCUUCCUUAAAAUUAUGAAAUUCUUUCAAAAUUUCAUGCAAUUUUUUGUUCUCCUCCUUCGUUAAUUUCUUGUCUUCGUCCCACUUUAUCUCAGUUGACUCCGAUUCUUCUUCUUUCGGCUCUUCGUCCCACUUUAUCUCAGUGGAUUCCGAUAAUUCUUCUUUCGGCUCGUCGUCCCACUUUAUCUCAGUUGAAUCCGAUUCUUCUUCUUUCGGCGAACUCACAAACAAUUGGGGUUCUUCGAAAAAUUCAUCGUCGUCCUCUUCCUCUUCCUCCGGCGAUAGGCUCGGCAGCGGCAGCGGCGGUAGUGGUGUUGUUGGUCGGCGGUGGCGGUCUCUUCGGCUCUUAUGUUGGCGCCGUCCUUGACUUUGUUCGAGCAGUUUUUGGAGACCAAUCCGUAUCUCCUCCACGGAUUUUUCCAAUCGCUCUAAACGUUUUCUCUCGGACGACAUAAUUUCGCAAAGUGUUGAUGUAAUCUCAACUUUGCUCCAGCGUAGCUUUGAUAUAAUCUCUGCCUUGCUAACGAAGCGUUGGUGUUAAUCGCAACUUCGCUCUGAUACCAAUUGAUGCGAUCUCUUGAGUAUCAUAAGAUUUCUUUACUAAACGUAAGAAAACUCUUGUUUAUUAUUUCUCUGCAUUAUCAAAACCCUAGCACAAUACGGCUAUUUAAAGAGAAUCAAAACCCUAGAAUCCUAAUCUAACUAGGAAAGAUAAUUACCUAUACUAAUAAAAUACUUAAUAAUUCCCUAAUCACUACUACUCACGCCAUAUAUUAAUCUAAAUAUACUAAUCUAAUCUAAUUAUCAAUAAACUACUAAUUAAAAUAAUACUUAAAUAAUAUAUUAAAUAAUAAAAUACUAACUAACGAAUAAAUAUACGAUAUAUUAAAUAUAUAUGGUUAAUUAAAAUUUGUUUUGAAUAAAGAAAAGAAAAAUAAAAUUAAUUUAGCUAGAACCAAAAUCCCAUUUUCAUUCUACUACUUUUGCCCUCGAUUUUGUCUCAAAUUUCUUAGUAGCUCGAUUAAAAUUUGUAGAAAAGGUCUGCUCGAGAGUCAUUCAACAUCUACGGAGGACAUUGAAAUUUAGUGGCCGAAGACAAUAGAGAAUUGAAAAUUGUACAGUAAGCCCUCGUAUGAUAACUAGCAUUAUCAAAAAAGUUGUACAGUAAGCCUAACUCGUAUGAUAAUGAAGAACACCUGAAACAUUAUUGAACUAAUGUAUCUUUACCAAAAUCAAAUUUUUUUGACAGAAAGUAAAAUAAACUCAUGUGAGAUAUUGACAACUAUUUUGAAGAAAAUAAGAAACAACAGUUGUAACAAUAAAUUUAAAAUUAUGCAAUGAAUAAAAAACGAACUUCUUCAUGCAACCAUGAUGCAAAUAGAGUAUUCAUUUGAAUCAAAAUCCGUCAAAAUGUCAACUAAAUCUUGUACUGACGUAAAUAUUUUUAUUUUGUAGUAUUGCUCUUAAAGCCAUUACGAAGGGAUAUGAAUGUGACUAAUGCAGCAUCCCGGCGAUCGAUGAUAAAUGAAUAUUGUCAUUUUGACACGAUAAGUUCCUGACAACACAUACUGUUCAAAUCAAUCAAUAAAUAAAUAAAAUAAUGUUGAAAAAUCAAAAGUAAGCAUAUUUCUCUAGUACUUUGGUGAUUUGAAUGCAACUUCUCAUCUUGCCACAUUCUUAAACAAAGUUUUGCCAUCUUUGUGUGUGCGUUUUUUCCCCACACGUGGGGGAGAUGGAGAUGCCAGCGGUUUAUCUAGUUGGAUUGUGCAGAGUUAGUUUUUGCUGAGGAAAACAAGCCAAGAGGGGGAAAAUGAGGAAAAAAAAAAAAAAAAAAAAAAAGGAAAAAUAGUCAUAAAAAAAGCAUAGAAAGCUAAAAAUAAUCAUAAUUCGUAUAAAUGAAUGUGCUAAAAACACUAAUUAAGGAAUGCAAAACAACCCAAGGGAAAAUGGACCCUCAAAGUCAUCCACCACAUUGAAAUUGAAAUAAAUCGACCAGGAAAAAACUUAUAUAUCGUACAUUUCUUAAAUAAAACAGUAAACUAGCUCGAAAAUGUCGACAUGAGGGGGAUGAGAGAACGAAGAAUAAAAGGAGAAUAUAUUGGCGAUGGAUGGAGUAGUUUCUUCCAUCUAAAAUGAUCGUGAUGUUAUCGUGUGAACUAAGAAGUUGUGUAUUAGUUAAUAUACCAUAGUAAAAACUAAAAAGCCGCCCGGGAAAAGCAAAGAGCUACGAAAUUACUGAGAAACACCUAGGGCUACGAAAAUUGUUCAGAAAAGAAAAAUUAGAAAUAACCGACUUGAGUAGUGGGGUCAGAUAUGAGAAUAUUCUUGUAGUGGGAGGUAAUAUUAAAAAUAAAACUGAAAAUAUGAAAUGAAAAUAUUGCCCCUAGGGCUACAUCUAGGGUUAUAGGUCAAAAUAUCCUCCUUUUAUAAACAAACAUUGUCUUAUUAUCAUUUUAAUUUCUUUUAAGGGUAAAUUACAACCACCCCUGGAUGUGUGGUCAAAUUACGAAAAUCCCCUCCCCUUUGGGUAAUUACAACCUCCUCAAUUAUAAAUCUUCUUACACGUCCACCCUUGCGGUGUCAAAUUUAGUGGAAUCUUUUAGAUUAUACAAAAUAUUCUCAAUUUUGUACCCAUUUUAUUCCAUUCGAACUCCACAUUUUGAAGCAAGAUGAUCAUAAGAUGUGCUUUUUGGCUUGUAAAUAUUAGAUUAUGGUGCAUCACAGAUUGCAUUUUUGUACAAAUGAGUACAAACUAGAGAACAUUCCACGAAAUCUUGAAGAUUAUGUUGAACUUGACACCAUAAGGGUGGACGUGUAAGAACAUUUAUAGUUGAGGGGUAGUUGUAAUAAUCCAAACAUGAGAGGUUUUUCGUAAUUUAAUCAUUCCACGAAAUCUAGAAGACUAUGUUGAAUUUGACACCAAACAUGAGGGAUUUUUCAUUUUUGGACGUGUAAGAACAUUUAUAGUUGAGGGGUAGUUGUAAUAAUCCAAACAUGAGGGAUUUUUCAUAAUUUGACCAUAGUGAGAAGUUGUAAUUUACCCUUGUUUAUAAUUACUAUGGAGGGAUAAUUGUGUGCAAACUGCAAUGUUUUGACCAAAUACUUGUAUUUAAAUGAAUUAAAUUAUUGAGCAAGAUACUUGAUUAUAAUGAGUAAAAAUGCAUAAAAAAGUAUGAACGUAUAGAGACUAUAUAGAUCCCCUAAGUUGAAGGAAAAUGGACAGGCUAUUGACCUCUCAUAGAACCCCAACGGCAUACGGAAGAUCAGCCAUCCAUCCAUCAAAAUGUUAAAAAACACACACACACACACACACAUACUUCAACACUGGAUAUGGAUUCCAGAUUCGCUGGAAAAAGGAAAAAAAAGGAAAAUGUCAAAACAAAGCUUUUAUUUUUUAAUAUCCCCAUGUUGAAUACAAGAACGUGCGUAGGUUUACGCCUUUUCAAUUUCUUGCAACGUCACGUUGUGUUGUGUUGUGUUGACACUUUCCAAAUAAUUUAAUUCCUAAAAAUUAAAUUGAUUGACAAAGUCUUUGCGUUUCCUUCUCUGUUAAUCUACUGUUAACUUGUUUAUCUGGGUUGUCCUUCAUUUUUCGAAAUUGCAUGAAAUUGAAACUUCGCCUCUUUUUUUUGUUGAGUGUGAUUGUUGUGCAUGGGCGAUUCCGUUUUCCCCAAUUUAUUACAUUUGCUUUCAUUUUAUUUUGAGGUUGUCACAAUUUCUUGCAGGCUACACGGAAUUUUGUUAUGUUGAUUAAGCACUAAUUCUUUCUUUAACUGCAGAUUCCUUUUGCUGAACAACUGAACAAGGAUUGAUUUGUUUCUAUACACAUUUCAAUUCACUUAAUGAUUGAAUAUCAGGUUUGUGAAUAUUUCAUAUAAUUAUUUUUAUUUUAUUUUUUUGUGAUUUAUUUAUUUGUUGAUCUGGUUUUCUAGACAGGGGGAAAAAAAAAAGAAAAACAAAUUGAUAUUGUAAAACCGGGGGCAAGAAUUUCUAUUACGGAAUGGUGAAAUUUGUAUUUGGUCUGUGAAUUAGUUAUAUUUUAUUUAAUUUAUCCUACAAAUGGAACAGAACAUAAUUAGAGAAAAUUUCCCUAAUGUAGCUAAUUCAAAUGGCUUAACAUGGUUUUUUAAGGAUUUGAAAUAUGCUACAAGAGUAUCUGUUUUUUAUUCGGAUCGUACCACUUUCCGUCACAAUUAAUUAAUCUUUUUAGUUCAAAUCAGAGUAUCUGUUAUUCCUAAUAUGUCUCCGAUACGCAAUUCAGCAUAGAGAAUCGGGGAAGAUUGGGCCAUUUUUUAUUUCUUCCAUUGUUUUAAAAAUUGAGAUUGUUAUCGUACGGACAGGUUUUCUCCUUUUCCAAUCGAGCCCUGCCGUUGUAAUGUUAUAGUAACAUGUCAUCGAGUUGAAUAAAUGCUACCGUUGUCAUAUUUAUUUAUUAUAUAUUUGGAUGUUUAAACUGAUAUUAAUAAUAAUAAGAUGAACGCUGCAGCAUUUCAGUGUGGACUAUCAGAAUAUAGUGACGUCAUGGAUCCACAAGUAAAAGAUUAUUAUAGAUUUCGCAGCUCAAGUGUUUCGUCUACCAACAGUGAUGUGUUUGAACCCACUUCAAGUAACAAUGGUACAAAUAUUAUUUUACUCUUGCGAUCAUUUACCUAAUCUGAAUAUAUUCACUUCGAGUUUUUUGUUUUGUGUGUACAGCUAAGCAGCGAGCAUCUGCAGUAGAAUGGUUAAAUGGUAUUCUGCCUGAUUUAAGUUUGCCAAUAAAUGCUUCAGACGAAGAAUUACGAGCAUUCUUGGUUGAUGGAUCUGUUUUAUGUCGAUUACUAAACAAACUAAAACCUGCUUCCGUGCCUGAGGUACCUCCUAGUUUAUUAUUAUUAUUUUUAAUUAUUAUUAUUAUUAAUUUUAAUUAUUAUUUAUAAAUGUUAGUGUGGUGGUGGUUCUAUUCGUUCUUCACAAACGCGGCAAGAAAACGUACAGAGGUUUUUGUUAGCAAUGGAUGAAAUGGGGUUACCGAGGUUUCAGGCGGCAGAGUUGGAAAAGGUGAUUGAUUACACUUUAAUGGAAUGGAGAUGAUAAAUAUUUUUUUUUUCUCGUGGUGAAAUUAAUUAAUUGAUUGAUUUAGUCGCAAUUUUGUUGUAGGGAUCGAUGAAAAUAGUGUUGGACUGCCUAUUAACAUUACAGACGCAAUUUACACUGAAUGCCGAGAGACAUAAUAGUAAUGGAACUGAUUUGAGUUCAAGACGGUUUCUCUCUUCCCCACCUUUUGGAGAAGACAGACGAAAGUUUGCUCCAGAGUCUAAAUUUCAGCGUGCUUUACGUAGUCCUAUUAAGACAGGUCUUUUUUUUUUUUCUCUUGUCUCCAAAUCAGUGUGUAAGAAGUUAUAUAUAUAUAUAACUAAAUUGAUUGUUUAAAUUGGAAUGUUGUAGAGCCAUCAGCUGCGCUUAUAAAUCACGUUGGUCAUAAGUUUCAUGAAGUCUUUCAGUUUAAACAAGUAUCUUAUACGGAUGCAAAUAUUUCAGAAAUGAUGAAAUCCAACAGCUUUGAUGUAAGUGAUUUCCUAAAUUAUUUAAUUUUUUUUUCCCGCCAAGUGUUCCUAAAAUUGACUUUAAAAGUUUUGUAUGUAUAAAUAUGUAUAUGUGAUGCAGAAUUCUCCAACGCAGUCGCUAUUAAGUGUGAUCAAUGGUAUUUUAGAUGAAAGCAUUGAGCAGAAGAAUGGAGAAAUACCUCAUGUAUGUAUUAAGAGAUUAAAAAGAUUUUUUUUUUAUUAGAAUCCAAAAACUUUUAAAGGUCUAACAAACAGAUUAUUGGCUUUGUAAUUGUUCAGCGUGUAGCUUGCCUAUUGAGAAAAGUUGUGCAGGAGAUUGAACGUCGAAUAUGUACUCAAGCAGAGCAUCUUCGAACGGUAAUGUAUUUUAUCAUGUGGGGUCCGGUUGUUUAAUGAUUAUUAUAUUCAUUAGCCCGAAACAUGCGCUCAUUCUUCUUCUUCUUUUUUUUUUUUAAUUUAUCCUGCAGCAAAAUAAUAUUUUUAAAGCUCGGGAGGAGAAGUACCAAUCUAGAAUUAGAGUUCUUGAAGCCCUUGCAACAGGGACUAGUGACGAGACACAGGUAUAAUAGUAAGGCUUCGUAUUUCGCCAUAAUGUAUGUAUUCAAAUUUAUGUAAGUACAUGUUUAUAUAAAUUGCAUAACCAAUUCGCCAAAAUUGAUUUUUUUUGUUUUUUUGGCAGAUUGUUAUGAACCAGCUCCAACAGAUCAAGGUAAUUCAAUUUCUUCACUGUAUGACUGUUAUCUUCAAGUUCAUAUGAUUUAGCUGCUUAUAGACGACGAGCAUCAAAUUAAGGAAGGAAAAAAUUGUUGAAUGUAAUCAAGAUUCGUAAUUCGUGUGCAAAAACAUUACCUGUUAUUACAAUAAGAAUUGAAUACAAGCAUGUAAUUCUGGUGAUAGUGAAUUUUAUUUACAUGUAGUUUUGGGUUUUGCAUGCUUAAAUAUUGUAUUCAUCUGCUCCAAAAAAUGCAGAAUGAGAAAAACAAAAUAGAAGAGAAAAAGAAAGCGGAGGAACAAGAAAUGGCAAGACUGAUGAAAGAGAAAGACGACCUUAAUCAAGAGAUAUCAAAUCUUAAGCAACAGCUCCAAGAUAUAGCUAAGACAUCCCAAGCUGAAUCUCAAGCUCAAGCUCAAGCUCAAGCUCAAGCUCAACAACUACAGCUCAACGAUACAUCUAAAGAGUCUCAAAGUUUACUAACCGAGGAGUCAACAAAUAGAGUUAAGGAACUUGAGGAUAGGUUAAAACUAACUCUAAGCUUACAAACAGAGUCCACAAAUAAAGUGAAGGAGCUCGAAGAUAGGUUAAAAGAGUCUGUCAUCUUGCAAACCGAGUCGGCAAAUAAAGUUAAGGAGCUUGAAGACAGGUUGAAAGAGGCUGAAAUCUUGCAAGCAGAGUCAACAAAUAAAGUGAAGGAGCUUAAAGAGAGGUUAAAAGAGAGGGCAAGCUUAGAAACAGAGUCGACAAAUCAAGUGAGGGAGCUUGAAGAUAAGUUAAACGAGACUGCAAGUUUGCUAACACAGUCAAGAAAUAGAGUUAUGGAGGUUGAGGCAUCCCUUGAAUCCAAAUCUGAAUGGUGGAAGAAGAAAGAAAAUAUCUACCAUAUAUUCACCGAAUUUCAGCUCGGUGCACUACGUGUAAUGCUUCUCUCUCUCUCUACCAUCUUACCUUUAUGUAUCACUUUUUUCUUGGAUUAAGUAAUUUCAUUCUUAUUUUCAUGUAUUUCAUUUCAGGAACUAAAAUUUUCAUCUCAGUCGAUACACCAAGAAAUUUUGAAAACGAAGAAAAGCUAUUCAGAAGAAUUCACUACUUUAGGUAAUUCUAUUUUCUUUUUUUUAAUCGGAUGAAAUAUAUAUUUAUACAUUGCGACUCACACUAAUCGUCGUAACAGGGUCAAGGAUCAAGACUCUAGACGAUGCAGCAAAGAACUAUUAUUCAGUCCUUGCUGAAAAUCGAAAGCUGCACAAUGAACUACAAGAGCUAAAAGGUGACACAUUAUUGUUGACAUAGUUGAACAUAAAAAAGAACACACACGCACACACACUAAAUUGGUGUAUUUCCUCACGUGUUGAUUUGAAUAGGAAAUAUUAGGGUGUAUUGCCGGAUAAGGCCAUUUCUCCCGGGGCAGAAAGGGAAAAGUUCGAUUAUUGAGUACGUUGGAGACAAUGGUGAGCUAAUAGUUUCGAAUCCAUCAAAACAAGGCAAAGAAGGACGCCGCUCCUUCAAAUUCGAUAAAGUGUACAGCCCAGCAGCAACACAAGGUUUAUUUUAUUUUAUAUCUUCAUUAAUAAAAAGACGGUACUAAUUAGUUUAUCUCUAUGUAUGUUAUUUCUUAUUGACAUAAAUUUCGUAUUAUCUGCAGCUGAAGUAUUUUCAGACACACAACCGUUAGUACAAUCUGUUUUGGAUGGAUACAACGUAUGUAUAUUUGCGUAUGGUCAGACUGGUUCAGGGAAGACCUACACCAUGGUAUGAAACUAACUAUAAAUAGGUUUAUAAUUUCAACUUAUAAUUAUUUAUUUUUUGUUAAGUGAAUGAAUUCUUUGUCUCUCCAGACUGGACCUGAUGGAGCAACGGAAGAAGAAUGGGGGGUUAAUUAUCGGGCUUUAAACAAUCUUUUCCGUAUUUCACAGAGUAGGGAGAGCAACUUUACAUAUGAAAUUUCCGUCCAGAUAGUGGAAAUAUAUAACGAACAAGUCCGUGAUUUGCUCGUAAAAAACGACGGUUCAGCAAAAAGAUAUCCUCUAUUUAAAAUUAUUAUGUUUCCAAUCUCAUAUUUUUUGACACUAAAUUUUGAUCCAUUAUUGGUUAUUACAUACAUGUUGCAUCAAAAAUACUUGUUAUCCUUGACUUGCACACACUCGGGAUUUUGUCAACGUCGCAACCCAAUGGUUUGGCAGUGCCAGAUGCUAGCAUUCAUGUGGUAAAAUCAACCUCAGCUGUUUUGGAACUUAUGGAUAUUGGACUGAAUAAUAGAGCCAAAAGUUCGACUGCCAUGAAUGAAAGAAGUAGUAGAUCACACAGGUAUUUCUAUAAUUAUUGUUUUUCAAGAUUCUUGUAUUAUUAUGCAAUCGAUGCAUAUAUAUAUAUAUAUAUAUAUAUAUAUAUAUAUAUAUAUAUAUAUAUAUAUAUAUAUAUAUAUAUAUAUAUAUAUAUAUAUAUAUAUAUAUAUAUAUAUAUAUAUAUAUAUAUAUAUAUAUAUAUAUAUAUAUAUAUAUAUAUAUAUAUAUAUAUAUAUAUAUAUAUAUAUAUAUAUAUAAUUAGUGGGGUAUGAAUAAAUACAGUAUUGUGUCAAUUCAUGCGCGGGGGCUGGAUCUAAAGAGUGGUUCUUCUCUACGAGGCAGUCUUCAUUUAGUAGAUCUUGCUGGAAGUGAAAGAAUUGACCGCUCGGAAGUAACUGGAGACAGACUUAAAGAGGCACAGCAUAUAAACAAAUCAUUAUCCGCACUUGGUGAUGUCAUCUUUGCUUUGGCACAAAAGAAUUCUCACGUUCCUUAUCGCAACAGCAAGCUCACUCAAGUCCUACAGGGCUCCUUAGGUAUGUAUAAUAGCUUUUUUUUUUUUUAAUAAUUCUUCUGAUAUAAGUUAGUUAAUUGAAUAUCGAAUAUUGGUAUUGCAAUGAGUAAUUGAAAAAAAGUGGUUAAUGAUCAGGUGGUCAGGCAAAGACACUUAUGUUUGUGCAGCUGAAUCCAGAUGCAACUUCGUUUAGUGAAACCUUAAGUACAUUGAAGUUUGCUGAAAGGGUAUCUGGUGUUGAGCUCGGCGCAGCUAAAAGCUCCAAAGAUGGCAAAGAUGUUCGUGAGUUGAUGGAACAGGUAACACAACAUUAUUACGAUUAUUAUUUUUCUGCUAUCUAACUUGCGAAUAAUAAUUUAACCAAAUUUAUGUUUCAUUUGACAUGUCCCUGAACUUUGUUAAGUGUAUCCAUUUAUUUGCUCACAAGUCUCUAUAUUAUCAUAAUUAUUUAUUAUACAAUAGACAAUAUAUAUGAUAUGAUACAUUUUUUGGGUAAUAAAUAGGUUUCAUCUCUAAGAGACACCAUAGCAAAGAAAGAUGAGGAGAUAGAGACACUGCAGCUUCUUAAAGAUCCCAAAAAUGGAACCAAUGCUGAGAAACGGGCUACCACCUCAUUGAGGUACGUAUCAUCUUCUACGGGUACUUGUUAACAAUUUCACAAAAAUAUAUAAUCACGAUUCUCAACAUCAGAAAAUAUCCAUAUUAAUUAUUUUUUUUUUGCGGUUGAAGCUGAGAUCUUAUGACUUAGGUGGUUGUGCAGAUAGAUAGUGCUGAGAAAUUUAGUGAUUUAUCUGAUAGUGUACUUUUAUCUUUGCAAAACAGAAACUGAUGGAGAGGCUCUUCCCUGAUUAAGAAAGACAAAUUGGGAACGUACACAAGUAAGCACAUUCGCCUUAUUUGCCCGCGCCUCAAAAAAUGCCUACUUGAUACAAACCACUUUUCUUUUCUUAUCUUACUAAAUCUUCACCGAGUACCAACUACUAAUAGUGUAUUUCUCUUGGUUUUCCACAGGCGUAGAGUUCCACGACCCUCAACUGGUAUGACCACACACAUAUUUAUAUAUAUAUAAUAACGAUACACAAUUGGUAAAUUAUGACGUUGAUGAGCAAUUCGGUUGUAUUCAGCUUUAGCUACUCGUGAUCUUGUUUCAGGUUUGAGAAAAUAUGCCAACCAAGGUGGCAAUAGUUGAGCAUAUAUAGUUUCAGUUAUUUCUUGAUUUUAUUCAUUCUUUAAUUUGCACUGUGAUUUUGAUCCAUCCAUUAUAUUUCCACUUUUCCCUCUUUUUUUCAUGUUCAUAAUCAUUGUAUAUAGGUUUCGUUUAACCCCCAUAGUAAGAACCACAACUACUUGUAACCUUUGGUUGUGUUGUGGUGUGGUGUUCCUUUGCAUUUACUGCAAUCCUGGAUGGAAGCUUGUAACUUCAUAACAAGGCCAAACUUGAGAAUGUUAUUUUCGAAACAAAUUACUGCACAACGCAAUUCUUUUAAUUACAUAUCAAUCCUCAAUCGUCCACUGGUCAGCAAAAAUUCUUAUUGAGGAGAUUCGCUAGUUUUUGUUCUUAUGGUCCGAAUGGAGCUUCAAAUUUUGUCCAAGAAAUACCAACUUCGCUGCUCAUCACCUUGCCAGUUGGGGCAAUUUUUUUCCAAAUGUAAAUUUAAUUCGUUCUUCUUGCUUUUGUGACGGGAAUUCCCGAUUUUAGAUUUUUUUUUUAUUACGUUUUCUUAAUACAAUUUUUACUUACAAAAAAAAAAGACAAGAAAUUAGAAAAAAAUUCAAAUAUGAUUUUGAACCAAUCAGCAUAAGGUGGUGGCUGGUCUAUUCUUGUGUUCUUUUUCAAUUAAUAAUUUGUGGCUCAUUUGUAAGAUAUAUUUCCAUUGGCUGGUCAUUUAAUGGAUACUAAAGUUUUGAAUAAACACUUGGUGGGGUAUGCUAAAAUUACAGGACCAAAUUAAUCCAAUAUGUAAACUGUUUAAGAAAUAUGGACCACUAUAAGUCAUAAAUUAAUUCUCAAAAGGAAAAAUAUUUUAAAAUAUUCGAAGAGCACCCACUAUUGACUAACUAUUUACCAACUAUUUACCAACUAUUUACUACUUUCUUACUAUUAUCUAACAUCUUAUUGCAUAUUCUAUAGCUUAAAAACAUGGGUAAAACCUUGUAAUGGAUCAUGUAUGUUUUCAUAUCAGUUAAUCUUUAACUUAUCAAUUUAUAACAAUAUUUACUUGAUCCAAAAACCAUGUUUGUGGCAGAUUGGUUGUAAUGAUCCACGUAGUCAUUUAGUUUAUUGUAAAAAAAAAAAGAUUAAUCUUGGUGAGUUAAGUAAUUAUUCAAACAUGGCAUGAAUGUUUUCCUUCCUACAACUCAAUGAUGUUAACUUCUUCUAAAGUUUGACAAUUUCUAUAUACAACAAUGGGGCUCUUCGACGUAACCCAUCAAAUAUUUUAUUAAUAGGAAAAUGCACAAAUAAUAAAUCACUCUUUGAGAUGAACUCAUACUCUUUUCAAGAAGAGAGGAGUGAGAGGUCGAGGUGGGAGAUGGAUCGGAAACAGAUAGGGACCAUGAAGUGGUUAUGGAGGGUGAUGGCGAAGCGGGUGGCACGCUUCAGGGCGUACCACUUGCUGCAGAGGAGGGCGGCGGGGUUGUGGCCGCGGACGUCCAGAACAUUGGCGAUUUAGUUUUUGUCGAGAAAUUUAGAUUAAACUGGACGCUGAUUGACUAUGUUGUUUGCAUAGUCUAUUAAUAAAUCAACUAUGUUUUUUUUAUAGUUAAUUUAUUAGAUCUAAUAUACGUUUUAAUAUUUUAAUCAACUACAAUCGAUUAAUAAAUCAAUAGUAGAUUAGCGUUCAGUUUAAUCCAAAUUUUACAAAAGAACAUAAGGUAAAUUAGAAAAUUGCGAAAAAGAAAUAUGAGAGAGUUUUUCCAAAUUAUUUUUUUAAUAGGGUUCUACCUCAUAUGAUUUUUUGAAAUGAAGGGGUUAUGCUAAUUUUUCCUUUUAAAGUAAUCAUAUCUAAGAUAUAUAUAUAUUAGAGAUAAAAUCAUACUUGCAAAAUUAAUGGCAUUGGAUGGGAUUAAUUAUUAAGAGAUGUGCUAUUUUCACCUUCAAAAUAUUUUAUCACACCACUAAAUUAGAUAUAUUUCCCAUUUUACCUCUUUCUUCUUCUCUCACACCAAUAUUUUUUACGAAAGUAUAAACCAUCUACCACUAAAAUAAUUAAAAUAUUUAUAUAAAAAAACCCCACAAUUUUCACUGAAAAUCUCACCCUCUCCACCUUAAAUGAAUAAUACUUUCGUAAAAGAAAAACAUUUUUGAAGGUCAAAAAGAGCAGGAAUUCACAUUUUUUGAUAAAUAAAUUAAGAUUGUUUGUAUGAAAGAUCUUGAACUUCCUCCAGAAUUGGCAUGUUUGGCUUAAUAUAAUUUUGUUUCCUAAUUUUUUUUUACAUAAUCUUGUAAUAAAUAUUUCUAUUGCAAAAAAAAAAAAAAAAAAAAAAUAGAAAUAACUAAUAACACAUGAAGAUUAAGUGAAUAUAAAGAAGGGUGGUAGAUUAUAAAUUUGAGAGGAAUUUAUGAUAUUUUAUAAUCUUUGGUGGUGAAUUGAGAUACUUUGGAUGUGAAAAAUAAGACCACUCAUUAUUUAUUUUAUGGAUUAUUUUAGAGACUCCCCUCAUAUGAAAAAUAUAUAUAACUAACCACCAAACUAAUUACAUCCUUGAUUCCUUGUGCAUACCCCUCCAUUUUGAAAUUAAUAUGACAGACCCCCAUUGCUCACCCUGAAGUACUAAUGUGCCCUUUUAAAAUCUGUUUUAAAGCCUAGCCACUCACAGUCGUCUAUCUCUUCCUCUCUCAAAUCUCAGAUUCAAAUCCCGCCUCUCUCCAACUGGCGAAGUUGCUUCUCGGAGUCAUAACUCUCUCUCACAUGGUCGGAAUUCGAUGGUUUAACUACCGUUGGAUUCCUCUCGUCGAGCACUUUCUUUUGGGGGUGAUUUCAUUCAGUUUGGAGCGCUGGAUCUGUUUCUGCAAUUUUUUUUUCAGUCGACGCAUAUUUCGACGACGGUAGGUCUUGCCGGAGGUGUAUUUUGUAUUCCGCUAGUCGGAAUUUGACGGGCUACCCACCGUUGGAUUCCUUUCACCGAGAUCUAUAUUUUGAUGGUAAUCUCAUUCAUUUUUAUAUUGUCAGAUUUAUUUCUAUAAUCUUUUUCAUUUGUGAGCGCGGAACCUUGGGUGGUUAGCGGCGGCUAGGGUUUUGGUAGGAGGCGAUUGGGGUGAGAAGUCAUUGGCGGUUUGGUUUAGAAUUCGUAGCUAUGGUCUCUCUCUCUCUCUCUCUCUCUCUCUCUCUCUCUCUCUCUCUCUCUCUCUCUCUCUCUCUCUCUCUCUCUCUCUCUCUCUCUCUCUGUGUGUUUAUUUUAGAGUGUUUUGAUGGUUCUUCAAUUUUUGUUAUUUGCACUAAAAUAAUUUUUUUUUUUUUGAUUUUACAAUUGCAUCUUAAUGAAAACCAUUCAUCCUCUACUUGAAGGUGUCAAAAUUUUUGUUGAAGUUAUAUCUGCUUCAAGUUACAAUAUUCAACAGAUUGUGUACAUUACCAUACAAUAAUAGUUACAUAUAGUAAAAUGUAGUUACAUAUGCAUAUAUUUGUCUAUUUUCGAUUUGUAUUUUAUUGGUUCUAAGGUGAUUUGUAAUAUAAAUAUUGAUAUUUGUAAUGGGGUUUAUGAAUUUCUUUUGUAUAAGCCAGUAUUCGUGUGUAUACAUAAUGAUCGAAUAAAAAUAUCGGGUUAAAAAAAAGAACAUAACUACGAAUUACUAUUGUUUAGUACAAUUACAUGUAGUUAUUUUCAGUACAAUAAACAUAUAUUUCAUAAAAAAAAUUAAUUCAGUUUUUUUUUAAAAAAAGUUAAAUAAAAAAAAUUAAAAAAAAAAUAAUAAAAAUAUAUAUAAAUUAAACAAACAGGUUUAUAUAAAAAAAUGAAAAAUAAUAAUAAUUAAAUCAGUGAAAAUGCUAAAUGUAUGACCAGAAAUGCUGAAUGCAGUUUUGGCAAAAAAUUGCAUAUAAUACUUUCUCCAUUGAAUAUGUCAAAGGAUAAUUUUAACUUGAAUUUAUCCCUAAUUUAUUUGGUAGCUAAGAAUGUGUAAAAUAACCCCUUAAUUUUAUUGAAUACUAUUUACAUACAAGGCUUAAUAGUGACAACUAAACGAGUUCUAAAUUUGAUGAGUACAUUUGAAACUAAUUUAUUUUAUAUAAUUGUUCCAAUCUGAUGUAAUUAUUUAUUCCUCCAAAAUUUAAUUAAUUAAAAAAAAAAUUCCACUUUUUUCCUUGUACUUUGGCUCGAUGUCACUUUAUCCUCUUCUAUUUUUGAUUGCAUCGAUUUGUCCCCCUGUACUUAAAAAUUAUUUCAAUGUGACCCUCGUUGUUAGUUGUCAGACAUUUGACCUUAGCACAGUUUGGUCUAAGCUCUGAAAUUAUAAAAAGACCACCCCUCCCAAUUUAAAUAAUUAUUAAAAAACGAAAAAGAAAAAAAAAACAAAAAAAGUAAUAAUAAAAAAUUCAAGACAACGAGAAAGCAUAGUCCAUGACGAUAUCCACAAUUUAUUUUUAAUUUACUUUUUUUAAUUUUUUAAACUAGGAGGAGUGAUUUUUUUGUAAUUUUUAGACUUAGAUCAAACGGUGUUAAUGUUAAAUGUCUAAAAACUAACGGCGAUAGCCACAUUGAAACAAUAUUUCAAGUACAUGGAGGGCAAAAAUCGAUUCAAUUAAAAGUAGAAGGAGUAAAGUGAUAUCGAGCCAAAGUACAAGGAUGAAAAGUUAAAUUUACCAAAAAAAAAGUAAUAAAAGAUAUAUAUUCAGAAUAUUAAGAGUGUAAUAAAAUAAAAUAAACAAGUAGAAGUAUCUCGAAGACCUCUGAUCCAAUUGUGGCUCACAAAUUUCAAAUUUGAGGUUGUCGUUUAGUAAUGUAAGUUGACAGAAAAAAUAUCUAAAAUAAAAUAGAAAUAAAAAUAGUCAUCAUCUUCCUAUGAAGAAAGGAAGGGCUGUGUUGGAUUUUGCAGUAUUAACCUCAAAAACAAUUGUCGCCUCAAAUGAGAUAAGGUUACUGCCACGCGUCACUCCCUCAUAGAUUCAAGCGAUAAGGAAGCAAUCCAUCUAUUAUGUGGUCAUAAAAUCGAAAUGUAGAGGCAGGUCAGAUCCAACGGCCCACAUGAAUUAAAAAUAAACAAGUUUCAAUAAGGAGCGUUGGAUGAAAUGUUGAAAGAAGAAACAGGGUAGGGGGUGGGUUUGGCAUUAUAAAGGGAGAGGUGCAACAAGGCAUUUCUCCAUCGACUGUUGUUUGUGUCUUCUAAAGCAAAGAAAAGCAAAUUAAAGAGAGGAGAAAUGGCAGCCUCAAUGGUAUCAACCACAGCCACCGCCGCCGUGAGCCGCGCCACCGCAGCUCAAGCGAGCAUGGUUGCUCCUUUCACCGGAUUGAAGUCCACCUCCGCAUUCCCCGCUACCCGCAAGACUGCUGACAUCACCACCAUUGCCACCAACGGUGGAAGAGUCUCCUGCAUGAAGGUACCACAUUUUAUUCAUUUCAUUAAUUUGAAUUCAAUUAUUAAUAAUGUAUAGUUAACUAAUUAAUUAAAUGGAUAUAUAAAUGUUUGAAAUUGAAUGAUUAGGUGUGGCCAACAGUGAACAACAAGAAGUACGAGACACUGUCAUACCUACCUCCUCUAACCAGAGAGCAACUCAUCAAGGAAGUUGAUUACCUUCUCCGCAACAAGCUCAUUCCUUGCAUUGAGUUCGAGUUGGAGGUAUUAUUUCUCGAUCUAUAUAUAUAUUUUCUUUAUUUUAAAAUUAAAAAUGAAUAAAUAAAAAUGAAAAAUAUAAAAAGUUGUAAAUAUAUGUGCAGCACGGAUUUGUGUACCGUCAGCACAACAGCUCCCCAGGAUACUAUGACGGACGAUACUGGACAAUGUGGAAGUUGCCUAUGUUCGGAUGCACAGACGCAGUACAGGUAGUGAACGAGCUUGACGAGGCAAUCAAAGCAUACCCAGAGGGCUUCAUUAGAAUCAUUGGAUUCAACAAUCUGAAGC